RNAcentral lists this ribosomal RNA (996 nucleotides) under Triticum aestivum (bread wheat). Its description in RNAcentral is "partial small subunit ribosomal RNA". Lineage: Eukaryota; Viridiplantae; Streptophyta; Magnoliopsida; Poales; Poaceae. The record is from RNAcentral.
AUGAACAACUUCACAACCGGAGCCACGGGAACUUCUGCUGUACUUCUCGACUCCGGAAACUUUGUCAUCCGGUUGCCCAACAACACAGACAUAUGGCAAAGCUUCCAUUACCCAACCGACACCAUCCUCCCCGGCAUGCAAUUACCACUGAGCACAGAUGAUGAUCUCUACACUCGCCUCGUGGCUUGGAGGGGCCCUGAUGACCCAGCCACCAGCGACUACUCCAUGGGCGGUGACUCUAGUUCAGACCUCCAGGUUGUCAUCUGGAAUGGGACGAGGCCGUAUUGGCGCAGAGCUGCAUGGGAUGGUGCGUUGGUCACUGCCCUGUAUCAAAGCAGCACUGGCUUCAUCAUGACCCAAACAACUGUCGACAUAGGGGGUAAGUUCUACUUGACAUUCACCGUCUCCGACGGCUCGCCAAGCACGCGCCUGAUUCUGCACUACACGGGCAUGUUUCAGUUUUUAGCGUGGAACAGCACCUCAUCGUCAUGGAAUGUUUUCAUAGAGCGGCCUAAUCCUAGUUGUGACCGCUACGCCUAUUGUGGACCAUUUGGUUACUGUGAUGCCACUGAAACAGUUCCGAAAUGCAACUGCCUCAGUGGGUUUGAGCCUGAUGGUGUAAACUUCUCCCAAGGGUGUCGGAGAAAGGAGGAGCUGACAUGUGGUGGUGGAGAUAGUUUCUCAACCUUGAGUGGCAUGAAGACACCCGAUAAGUUUGUGCAUGUCAGGAACAGAAGCUUUGACCAAUGCGAAGCAGAGUGCAGAAACAACUGCGCUUGCACCGCAUAUGCUUUUUCUAACAUGAAAAAUGGCAGCACGUCUAGUGACCAGGCAAGGUGCUUGAUUUGGUUGGGGGAGCUUGUCGACACAGGAAAGUUUCGUGAUGGAAGUGGCGAGAACCUGUACCUUCGUCUAGCCAGUUCAACAGGUAUACAUCUUUCCUUAUGCGCUUAUGGAUUGUACGGUGUGAUCUAUUCCUUUUAUGUCGAAUGGUAG